CAAACAUAGAACACAUUAGGAGAUAUAGGAAGUAUUUGGGAACCUCUGAAAGUUACGUGAUUAGGGACAACUUGACCAAAGUUGGGCUUUAUUAAUAUUUUCCUCACUAUUGCACACAAUGUGGAUUCAAAGAAGGAAUUGAAAAAAGGAUAGCCUCAGCCAAUAGGAAACGAAGAUUAACCAUAAAGGAUUCAAAGUAGAAGCAGGAGGUGACCUAGCCACACGGCAGCCCAUCCACAUGUUGGAAGAAAACCGAAGUAAAAAGAUAUUUCUCGGCUCAGGAUUCUUGGAAAAUCUCUAGAAACAGAAAGUAGAUUAACCUCAUAGUCUUGCUGGUUUAGCAGAAAUUUUCAGAAGUCAAAAGGAGUUAGAAAGUGAAUCUCUACCCCCAAAUUUAACAUAUUUGCCUGCACAUGUUCAUGCCCUCAUCAGUCAAAAGGGAUCAUUUUUAGUUCUUUACAUAUACAUUUGAUAAGUAAUAUAAAAUGCCUCUGCCUUCAAACUGUGACAUCACUGUCUGAUUUACCAAGGUUCAAGGAAAAGAAGAAGCCACUUAGAGAGUAAUGAGCCAGCUGAAAAGAGCAGCACUCAGUCCUCACCGUCUUGGUCCAGUCUUCUCCAUGUGAAGAGCUGUCUGGAUGUGAACACAUUCACGAGAUCAUCUUAGGGAACUCAAACCCAUCUUACAAUAUGAUCAUUCUUCAAUCAGCAAUGAUCUUUGUUACACAAAAAUAUAUCAAAUGUUAGUUUUAUUUCUGUUAAAACUCAUUAAUAUAAAGUAAAAUUUCAGAGUGCUUUUGUGAAACUGGGAAUCAGAAUGAGCCUUUCCUAAUAAGCUGGUCCUGGAACUCUGAAGUCAGAUAUUUGUGGUCAUAGCCUCUAUUGUUAUCUUGAAUUUUUGUUGUUGUUGUUGUAAACCUCUCAACUCUUCAAAGGACCUCUUUGUUAACAUUCCCAUUAUUCAGAAUUAGUUCCAUGCCUGAACUCCUGCUCCCUAGACGGCAAACACAACUCCAUGGUCAAUCCAUAGCUUCACUAAUGGCAACUCCAGUCACAUAACAGAUGGGAACACUAAUGAAUAAAAUGCCCUCUGUCAGAACAAACAUUAUCUAUCUAUAUCUACAUUUAUAUCUAUCUUCAUUUAUCUCUAUCUAUAUAAAAAUGUAAUCACAGAAACCGUGGUUCAUUUUCUGAUCCAGAAAUCAGCUCUAGUGGUUGCUGAUAUUCUUUUGAAGACCAUAGAAAUAAGCAUUUUAGAUCAGUAUUAUCAAAGAAAUUCCCAAAUGCAUGAUCAUUUUGAAGAGAAUACUCUGACACUUCUCAUAACUUCAUCUUAAUUCUCAAUAAAUCUCUCUUCAUCCUGUUAUUUUGUAGUCAAUAUUCUGUGUUCUAAUAUGUAGAGCUGGGAAUACAAGGAUAGUGGGUAUGGGAAACUGGAUAAUGUGAAAAAUACUAGUGGGGUAAAUUUACAUAUGGCAUGAAGAGAAUAUUUACCCAACAAAUUAACUGUUAAAAUUUAGCUUAAGUCAUGCCUAUAAGGUAUAUAAAUUCUUUAAUUUGCUGAAUUCUUCUUCUUUUGAUACUUUUUUCUGUAGGUCAUUUUAAACGUUUCUUGCUUUAUUCUCUCUCCACUAAUUAGUCGUUACAUUUUCAACAAUAUUUUGUAGGGUAACAAGUGAGUUACUUUUCGCAUUUGAAAUUUCAACAACCAGACCAAGAAAGCUCAAGCUACUUUCCUUUAAGUAGUUUCUGGCAAAGAAUUCUGACGUAGGUAACUUACUGUUUACAUGCUACAUCCUGCCGAGUUCUGGAUUUGGACUUGGAGAAUCUGUGAUAGAGAAAUUCUUAAAUGUUUAGCUCAGUUUGAACUAAUGUUUUUGUUUGGAAUUUGCACGUAAUUUUUUCCAAAUAAACUAUAUGAGAAAAUCG
RNAcentral lists this long non-coding RNA (1929 nucleotides) under Equus caballus (horse). Its description in RNAcentral is "lncRNA (ENSECAG00000031523.3)". Lineage: Eukaryota; Metazoa; Chordata; Mammalia; Perissodactyla; Equidae. The record is from RNAcentral.